GGGGAUGAAAGGCUUCGACAGGGAGGGCUGGUCAGCGGCUGCAAGCCGAGGCGCCUUACCUCGUAAAAAAGGGCAAACCAAUAAGUGCCAAAAACACCUAUACUCCGGCCUAUGCUCUCGCCGCGUAAGCGGUAGCGAGCAAAAGCCAUUGACCGACAAAGUUCGGUCACGUCUGCCUCUGGGCUUAGCCCGAGAGCCGGAGCGCGGGCGUCGCCUAAAUCGGGCUGCGGUUGGCCUGACGCCGAUGGGGCCGGCCUAAGAGAGAUCGGCUGGUGGGCUGAAGGCUCGGUCACGCGAGGGUAGGCCCACGAGAAACGCGAAGCGUGACUAUGCUUGUAGCAGGCCUCUGGCCGAACUUCUUGGACGCGGGUUCGAUUCCCGCCAUCUCCACAC
RNAcentral lists this transfer-messenger RNA (393 nucleotides) under Chloroflexota bacterium. RNAcentral's name for it is "Chloroflexi bacterium (oil production facility metagenome) transfer-messenger RNA". It matches the Rfam family "transfer-messenger RNA". From Rfam's summary of the family: Bacterial tmRNA, also known as 10Sa RNA or SsrA, is named for its dual tRNA and mRNA-like properties. Its role is to liberate the mRNA from a stalled ribosome. The record is from RNAcentral. Lineage: Bacteria; Bacillati; Chloroflexota.